Non-coding RNA from Camellia sinensis, 3301 nucleotides. NCBI's taxonomy places the organism in Eukaryota, Viridiplantae, Streptophyta, Magnoliopsida, Ericales, Theaceae. The record is from RefSeq and is a predicted model, not a curated record.
GGUGACUUUUUUUUUCUUAAACCCGUCUCUCUGUCUCUCUGUUGUGUCUCGUCUCCUUCAACUGUGUCUCUCUAUUCUCUCUCUCAUGAGCAUCAUUGACGACCGGCGCCAGCGGAGCGCGGUGAAGCCGAUCUAGGAUGCGCUGAACCCGUAGGCCGAUGACAGCAGUGAGGAGGCCAACGAACAGACUGAGAUCCAGAUCUGAGAUCUAAGAUCGCGCCGACGAACAGCGGCGGCUCCGGCCUUCUAUGUCGCAUGAUCUCUUCCUCCGCCGUGCGCCACCGCCGAAAAAGUCAGUCACGGAGGAGGUGACUGCCCUUCCAUAUAGAUCGGAAAGGCUUACCCGACUGCGCCGCCGAUUUCAUCGUCGGCAACCACUCGGCGGGGAGAGUACCGACGUUUACAAAGAGAGCGUCGGGUGAAGUCGGGAAUCUCAUGAAGCGAGUGUAUCAUAGCUGGAAAUGCGCCGGCGGAGAGAAGAGUGUUGGCCAUGAGAUCCAUGGAGACGAAGUUGGUGAUGCAUUGGAAGAGGAGUUUACAGUGCGUGCGGUUAGGGAGAGUUUGGUUGGGGCUGGAGUCGAGGCAGAGGAGUCUCACAUGUUUUCUAGUUCAAGCUCUCCUCGAGGUGUCUUCCUGUAAGAAAUGGACAUAUCACACUCGUUAAGGUGAAUAAUAUGGUUGGUGGAGAGGAUCAGGUAUCUAAGAAGCAGAUUGGGACCGGCUGUAGAAUUGGAGAUCUCUAUGUGGUGGAAAGCCUGAAUCUUCCUCAGUCUACCUCCCUCGUUGCACUUUCAUCUUUUCAGUUAGAUUCUCAGUCGAGUCAGUUUUAUUUAUGGCAUUCUCGCUUGGGUCAUUUGUCUGUUGAUCGCUUGCGGUUUUAGCUCAGCCAGGAUUGUUAGGGAUUUUCGUAUCAGAUAUAUCACUGUAUCUGCGAUGUUUGCGGCAGUGGGGGUUGAUGGAUGGUUGAUGUAGCAGCGGUGUUUGUUAACCACACAGUGAAGAAGGAGGUCUUCGAUCGGUUUUGGGUCGGCAAAGAGGACGCUCUCGAUUUGGUUGGGAUCUUCAUUUGGGCGCUCCUAUGCGAGUGGGAGUUUUAAGGGGUGGCACUUUGUUUGGGGGAAAACAUGGGUGUCGAAGACGAUCCAGAUUUGUUUAGGUCUUCAUUCGAGCGCUCCUAUGCAAGUGGGAGUUUGAGGGUGAACUCCGUCCAGAUGCAUGGAGGUGUCUUGGCGGUUGCUUCGAUUAAGAGGAGGUCGGCGUUGGGUCAACAAUAUAGGGGUGGUGGAGGAGCUUUAGCAGUGGGUGUGUUUGGUGUUUGGGUCGGAAAAGAAGAGGUUUUCCGACCAUGGAAGUGGAAGUGGCAGUGGGUCUUGUUCGGCUGUGGUAGUGGGUCUUGAUCGUCCAUGGGUGUGUCCGGCUUCAGCCAAGGUAGCUUCGGUGCGGCAGAGGUAGAGAUCAAAUCAGUAGUAGGGCAAUUGCGUCUUUUCACAAGAAAGACUUUCCCAGGCACGCUUUCCAUAAUUUUAGGAAAAAAAUUCUAGCCUUUUGACUUCUUUUGUAACUGUUUGACUUUUUGUAUUAAUCUAGAUUAUGCCAAACAACCCUUUAAAAUGUUGAUUGGCAACUUUGAGAUGUUAAGAAUAAAAAAAAUAUGAAAAAUAAAAUGAACCCUAAAAUGAUCCCCUCAUUACUCGAAGUAAACAAUCUAAAACUUUUACAUGUUCACUGUUAGUUUGAAAAAAGAUUGAUAGCUUGAAUUAAGAGACUUGUAUAUUAUAAGGUGACAAUCUAUUGAAAUAUCUAAUACAACUCUCUCUCUCAUAUCUUUUUUAAUUGUCAACCAAUCAUCUUAUUUAUAUAUUAUUACGUCUAGGAACUGAGUUUAGAAAAUAGACUUACAUAUUAUUUUCCUUCAUUUAAUAUCACUGUUAAAAAUUCUGGAGUAACAUAUGUAAAAUCAUCUAAAGCACAACAUUUUUAAUCUUGUGCUUUUAUUGGCACUAACAAUUCCCUUCCAAAAUAAGAAAUUAUUAAAUAAUCCGAGAUUGGUAAUCUCGGCUAGUAAAAAUUUUAACUCACAUAGUGUGGGUCAUCCCUUAUCUCCUACUUACCCAACAAAGAUUCACCAUGUUUUACCCAUAAGAUUUCCUUUAUGCUAUUAAUUUUGACUACCAUACAAGUAAAACCACGUGAUACUCUGGAAACACCCAAUAAUUACGUCAAACUAAAAGCCCUUUCUAGCUAGAUUACCAAUAGGAGCAAUUUGAGCCUUUACACAUAAUCAUCCGAACCAAAAAAUAAUAAUUAAGAGACAUUUCAUCAACAUGUGAAAUGCAAUAACAUCAAAAUAAAAUGGUCAAUUUUAUGUGCACACCAUGAAAGGAAGUUGUAUGUUGGGGUUCUUGUGGAUGUGGGUGGAUAAUCUUUUCUUAAGUACUUCACUCUUGGGUAGGUUCAUGGGAAGCAGUCGAGGGAAGGACUCAGCUACUUCUUUCCUAGUCGUUUGCUCUGGUUCCUCUGGAUGUUGCUGCUGUUUGAUUGAUUUUUGGCUGCUAAAUUUGGUAAGAAAUGUUUUAGUUUUUGUGUGGAGAUAUGUUUUGGAUUAGGUUGCUAUCCCCAGGAGCAUGUGUCUGGGUGAUGAUGAAUAAAGAGACACGGAGGUUAUCUAAGAUUCUAGGUGAAGUUCGAGUGGAAAUAGGUCCAUAUUUUCUGGAUUCACCUCCUGUUCUGGACAAGAACAACUGAUAAUUGCCGAAGCUUAAUGAAAGCACAACAGAUUAUAUUCGUACUGGUUUAACUUCCUGUGAUGCACAAGAUUUGACAGGCAAAUGCUGAGACUGCACUUGUGUCAUGUGCUACACUUGUUCUUUGAGUUGUGCAGUAGAUUGUAGCUCAGGCUCUGACUAAGGUUCUAAUUUUGCUCGUGUUUAAGAUCUCUUCAGAUUGCCUAUGUGAUUUUGCAAUAGUUUACACCCGAGAUUGUCGUUAAGUAACACAUUAUAUUGAAAUGGUUUGGUUGUUCAAAGAAGGAAAAGAAGUUACUAGAAGAAGCAUCUCUUGCCUCAUUAACCUUAGAAAUGCUAAUUGCCAUGGUGAUUCGACACUUGCAGCAACAUCUGUAGGUUACACUAAAGGCCAUUGUAAUAAACACAUUGUUUUAAUUGUGAAUUGACUUGAUUUUAUUUUUAUUACUUGGUGUGUGUCUCUUGUAAGUAUUAUUGUGUUUACACUUAAAUUUUGAAUUGUAAGAACACGUGAUCUAUUGUUGUUACUUAUAUAAUUAGAGUUUUUUUAAUGUCAA